CAAUAGCGUAUAUUAAAGUUGUUGCAGUUAAAAAGCUCGUAGUUGGAUUUCUGGUGGGAGCGAUCGGUCUGGCGCUUAGCGCGAGUACUUGCAUCGUCUCCGGCCACCCUUGGGGAGAGUCUGUCUGGCAUUAGGUUGUCGGGCAGAGGAUCCUCAUCGUUUACUGUGAAAAAAUUAGAGUGUUCAAAGCAGGCUUAUGCCGUUGAAUAUAUUAGCAUGGAAUAAUAAGAUAGGACUUUGGUACUAUUUUGUUGGUUUGCGCACCAAAGUAAUGAUUAAUAGGGACAGUUGGGGGUAUUCGUAUUCCGUUGUCAGAGGUGAAAUUCUUGGAUUUACGGAAGACGAACUACUGCGAAAGCAUUUACCAAGGAUGUUUUCAUUAA
RNAcentral lists this ribosomal RNA (383 nucleotides) under uncultured eukaryote. RNAcentral describes it as "partial 18S ribosomal RNA". It matches the Rfam family "Eukaryotic small subunit ribosomal RNA", at positions 592 to 976 of the family's 1831-position model. The record is from RNAcentral.